This 429-nucleotide ribosomal RNA is filed under the name Chloroflexota bacterium. RNAcentral describes it as "Chloroflexi bacterium partial 16S ribosomal RNA". It matches the Rfam family "Bacterial small subunit ribosomal RNA", at positions 355 to 776 of the family's 1533-position model. The record is from RNAcentral. Lineage: Bacteria; Bacillati; Chloroflexota.
UGGGGAAUAUUGCACAAUGGGCGCAAGCCUGAUGCAGCCAUGCCGCGUGUGUGAAGAAGGCCUUCGGGUUGUAAAGUACUUUCAGUCGGGAGGAAGGUGGUAAGGUUAAUAACCUUAUCAAUUGACGUUACCGACAGAAGAAGCACCGGCUAACUCCGUGCCAGCAGCCGCGGUAAUACGGAGGGUGCAAGCGUUAAUCGGAAUUACUGGGCGUAAAGCGCACGCAGGCGGUUGAUUGAGUCAGAUGUGAAAUCCCCGGGCUUAACCCGGGAAUUGCAUCUGAUACUGGUCAGCUAGAGUCGUGUAGAGGGGGGUAGAAUUCCAUGUGUAGCGGUGAAAUGCGUAGAGAUGUGGAGGAAUACCGGUGGCGAAGGCGGCCCCCUGGACAAAGACUGACGCUCAGGUGCGAAAGCGUGGGGAGCAAACAGG